RNAcentral lists this ribosomal RNA (491 nucleotides) under uncultured bacterium. Its description in RNAcentral is "partial 16S ribosomal RNA". It matches the Rfam family "Bacterial small subunit ribosomal RNA", at positions 29 to 506 of the family's 1533-position model. The record is from RNAcentral.
AGUGAACGCUGGCGGUAGGCCUAACACAUGCAAGUCGAACGGCAGCACAGUAAGAGCUUGCUCUUACGGGUGGCGAGUGGCGGACGGGUGAGGAAUACAUCGGAAUCUACUUUUUCGUGGGGGAUAACGUAGGGAAACUUACGCUAAUACCGCAUACGACCUACGGGUGAAAGUAGGGGAUCUUCGGACCUUGCGCGAUUGAAUGAGCCGAUGUCGGAUUAGCUGGUUGGCGGGGUAAAGGCCCACCAAGGCGACGAUCCGUAGCUGGUCUGAGAGGAUGAUCAGCCACACUGGAACUGAGACACGGUCCAGACUCCUACGGGAGGCAGCAGUGGGGAAUAUUGGACAAUGGGCGCAAGCCUGAUCCAGCCAUACCGCGUGGGUGAAGAAGGCCUUCGGGUUGUAAAGCCCUUUUGUUGGGAAAGAAAAGCAGCAGGUUAAUACCCCGCUGUUCUGACGGUACCCAAAGAAUAAGCACCGGCUAACUUCGU